GGAUAACCUACCCUUAGGACUGGGAUAACCCUGGGAAACUGGGGAUAAUACUAGAUAGGCAAUUUUUCCUGGAAUGGUUUUUUGUUUAAAUGUUUUUUCGCCUAAGGAUGGGUCUGCGGCCGAUUAGGUAGUUGGUUAGGUAACGGCUUACCAAGCCAUUGAUCGGUACGGGUUGUGAGAGCAAGAGCCCGGAGAUGGAACCUGAGACAAGGUUCCAGGCCCUACGGGGUGCAGCAGGCGCGAAACCUCCGCAAUGUGAGAAAUCGCGACGGGGGGAUCCCAAGUGCCAUUCUUAACGGGAUGGCUUUUCAUUAGUGUAAAGAGCUUUUGGAAUAAGGGCUGGGCAAGACCGGUGCCAGCCGCCGCGGUAACACCGGCAGCUCUAGUGGUAGCAGUUUUUAUUGGGCCUAAAGCGUCCGUAGCCGGUUUAAUAAGUCUCUGGUGAAAUCCUGUAGCUUAACUGUGGGAAUUGCUGGAGAUACUAUUAGACUUGAGACCGGGAGAGGUUAGAGGUACUCCCAGGGUAGAGGUGAAAUUCUGUAAUCCUGGGAGGACCGCCUGUUGCGAAGGCGUCUAACUGGAACGGUUCUGACGGUGAGGGACGAAAGUUAGGGGCGCGAACCGGAUUAGAUACCCGGGUAGUCCUAACUGUAAACGAUGCGGACUUGGUGUUGGGGGUGGCUUUGAGCUGCUCCAGUGCCGAAGGGAAGCUGUUAAGUCCGCCGCCUGGGAAG
Molecule: ribosomal RNA, 734 nt
Filed under: uncultured archaeon
Lineage: Archaea
Description: bacterial SSU rRNA
Rfam family: Archaeal small subunit ribosomal RNA
Source: RNAcentral